UGUAGGUUGCAGACGUGGCUCAGAUCCUGCAUUGCUGUGGCUCUGGCAUAGACUGGCAGCUACAGCUCUGAUUAGACCCCUAGCCUGGGAAUCUCCAUAUGCCGCGGGAGUGGCCCAAGAAAUGGCAAAAAAGACAAAAAAAAAUACUGUUUUGAUAUUCUCGUAAUAUAUCCUUGCUAAGGGUAUUAUAUAAAAUACUAAGAAUUACACAAAGUACUAAAUGAUAAACAGUUUAAGGAAAUAGAACAAUUCAUUGUUAACAUACCUUAAGACAAAUAGUGGCUAGCUUUGAGUCAGAAAAAUGUGAAAUUGAAUCCCAAUUCUGUUAGUUACUAUUUGAAUCAAUAAUUUAAUGUCUUAGACCUCAGUGUGCUACUAUUAUUAUUUAAACAGUAAUUUGAAUUCUAUGUGGUAUGUGUAAUAAACUGAGACUAACAAUAGCUGGCACACAUAAUAAAUAUUAGUUACAGAAGAUAUUUGAUAAUAUCUCCCUAUAUGAAUUCUCUGCCUAUAGGCUCUCAAACUUUUCCACUUUUACCAAACAUUUCCUUAAGCCACUCCUGGAAUUACUAAACUGCCUUACUUAAGAACAAUCCCCUUCUCUUGAAUAUAAGAUCUCUUCAGUCUGCUAUUCAGUCAAGUGCUGCUGUUUAUUGGUGAGUAAAAAACAAUUUCCUUCACAAGAGUUUUCAACUUAUGGUUAAAGCAUAUUCUUAUACUGUUCCCAUCUUCUGGACUCAUUUGUUCCUAUACUCUCUAAUUUUUCCUAUACUCUCUAAUUGUUUCCUAUAUUCUGUACUCAUUUGUUUCUACACCCUGUAACUUUCUUGUAUAGCUUUCAAGUGCAAAAACAUAAAAACAAAUUGCUUUAUCAUAAUUGAUGUCAUUAUAUUUAAUAGCCCUUUAUAUUUAACAAUACAGUGGUUUGUGUUAUAAACUGUAUCAUAUAUUAUUUUGCUUCAUCUCCCCUAAAUAUAAUGUAAAAAAUCUUAAUGAAAUGUGCCAAGCCUUACACCUCUUUGAAUUCUCUGCUGAGAAGGAGAACAGUGCCUAAUCAAAGUACAAGAGGCAAAACCUUCACCUCUACACUCUUAAGGUUUUUUCUUUGGGCCUGAGAAUUAAACUGACAUAAGACAGAUUAACAGGAGAAAAGCAUACAGAUAUAUAGGUUUUAUGUGACAGGGGCCCUUCAUGAGAAAUGAACACCCAAAUAAGUGAUGAAGUCUAUUAGAUUCAACAAAGAGAGGCAAGACACAUUGCUUCUACAAUAUUUCAAAAUCAUGAGCCACUCCAAAAGCAUAUUUACUAUCAGUACAAAUAUUGGAAGUUUUGUACUUGGCUAAAAUAUAAGCCUGUAUAAGAGUGUAUAAUUCAGCCUGCAGUGCUGAAGUAAAAAUCAGUAGGUCAAGGACCUAACCAACAAAAAGCCAUACACUCCAUUUACUUCCUCACUUCUAUAAACUAAACUUGCCUUUGUUUACUUCCUCCAAUUUCCUUUCCCUUCUAUAAGUGUUCUCAUUCCCUUGCCAUGUGGGGACUUGCACAUGGCUUGGCAUGGGCAUGGUUGCAGAUCCCAAACUGCAAUUCUCUGCUGAUCUCAAAUAAACCCAUUUUGCUGGAGAAAUAUCUGGGAGUCUAUUUGUUUCUGAUCAACAUUUUGGUGGCCCUUGUGGGGACCAAAGAAGACCCCCAAUAUCUCUAAGGUGGUGAGAAAACAAGUGAGGCACCAUAAUUGAGCCCAUUGCGCUUGUCUAUCUCAGAAAACUCUAGAGUUUGAAGGUAUUUCUUGUUUUUUUGUUUUGUUUUGAUCUGAGUUCACAUACUCUUUGUGUCUGAAGCUCCACAGGGAUCUGUUUAAAGACUUCAUCUUUUUGGUUAAGUCUUUGUUUUGUAUAUGAAUACUUCUUUGGCACUUUGGUCUGAUUUGAGAUCAGACUGUUUCACUAAAGCUGGCUAGUCUUCAACCCAUUCCUUAGGGAACAUAGGUUGUUUUUCGAAACACUGUCAAAUUUUUCAGCGUUCUGCCAAUUCCUCUAUAAUGGCUGUCUUCUGGAGAUGGCCUUAAAAAAAGUAUUUGACCUGGCUCCUCUAGGACCAAGCUGUUUUCUUAAGAUUGGCCAGGAUGGCUUAUAAACUGUUCAAAUUAAGCCAUCUGUACUGUUAACUAUUUAAGCUGUUUUAAAAUUAUUCUUUACCCUGGAGGAAGAAAAUUCUCUGAAAUAGGAUCCCAAUAUCUAAAUGUCUUGAGGGAGCUUCAUUCCCUCCUCCUAGGGAAUCUGGCCAAUUUUACAUUUAAAAACAUGGCCGUCCCUUAGAUGCAUUUAUCAUUGAAUGGACCAACCUGACCAUAGGCAAGAUCAAUGGCCAUUGAAGAGAACUUCUAAAAUACCCAAACUUAAUUUCCAUAAAACUUUACUGGACUAAAAUAGCUCAAAAGUUUAUAGAAGAGGAGAAUGAGCAAAAUCUCCAAUUGAUGUUGGCAAAAUUCACAGCACACUUAUCUGCAAAACUUAAAUAUACCCCUCAAAACCUUUUCCCAGAAUUAAUCAAUAACCCAUGAGUCAUAAAGCCCAUAAUAGAAGAAACCCUGCAAGGCAUAAAGCUUAUAAUAGAAGUCUCAAGGCCUGAUUAUCCCCCAUUAUCCCCCAUUCUAGCCCUAUUCCAUCAUGCCAGUGAGAAAAACCUAAGGGACAAGGGUGGAAGUUUGUUCUUUACCUCAGAACAAUAAACAACGCUUUGCUAUUCCUUGAUACCCUGUUGUCUCUAACCCUCAUAGGUUAUUAACAUCCAUUUCCACUGAAAUCAAAUUCUUUACUAUAAUCGAUUUAUAAGUACAUCCUCUGGUAUUCCAUUGGAUGAUGAUAGCCAGUAUCAUUUUGCCUUCACUAGGGAAGAAAAACAACUCACCUGGACAGUAAUCCCUCAGGGUUAUACUGAAAUUCUUUAUGUCUUACAAAUUCUGAAGGCUGAUUUGGAUGUCAUCAAAACUCCUUCAGGAUUCUACUUUGCUGAGAUAUAUGAAUCAUUUGCUUGUUUGCUUUCCUUCUCAAGCCUCCUCACAGGAAGAGAACAUCCAGUUGCUAAAGCUUAGGCCUUAAAGGGACAUAAGGAUGCCAAGAAAACUGCAGUCUGCCCAAGCUCAGGAUCAAUUUUAGGGCACUGGAUAUCAGAGCAAGAGCUACACCUAUAUCCAGAUAGAGUUUAUGGCGUUCUAAAACCCAAAACUAAAUGCUAACUGUGAGGUUUUCUCAGGUCAGUUACCUUUUGCUGAAUUUGAUUCCAAUUUCUCUCUUAUGGCCAAAGCUCUAUAUGUUUCAUACUCAACAAUAAUAAUCCUGAUCUAAUUUUAUGGGAAGAGCCAGAUUACACAGCCUUCAAGCUCUUAAAGGAGAAACUGAUGAACUCACCCACCUUCCUGCAUCCCAAUUAUCAGCUUCCCUUUUUUUUUCCUUUUUGUUUAUGAAAAGAAAGGGAGUGCCCUUGAGAUAAUCCACCAAAAACACAGGGACCAUCAUCAAUCGAUAGGGUAUUAUAGCCAGCAACCAGACCCUAUUACACGGGAAUAUAUUCCUUGCCUUACAGCCAUUAUGGUCAUUGCCCUUUUGGUUAAGACCACAGAGAAAACCCCUUUUACCAUUUUUGUACCUCCUGCAACAGAAGCUCUCCUGAGUCCUCAUCACACAUGAUAUUUCUCAGCCAGUUGUCUCAUCUCUUAGGAAGUCCUUUUGUUAACUGCUCCUCACACAACUCUUUUACCUUAUAAUAACCUCAUCCAGGCUACUUUCUCCCCUCCAUCACUUAUGAAGUCCCCUAUGACUGUUUAACACUGAAAAACUACCUCCUGACUCUCUGUGAUGACCUACAAAGAAAUUCUACCGGGAAAUGUUGAUUUCUCAUGGUUUGCUAAUAAUUCUUACUUAAGAGUGGUAAUGGUAAGUAUUAUCCUGGGGAUGUUAUUACAACUCAUUUUGAUGUUGUUGAGAAAGAAUUUCUACCUAUUACUACUUCAGCACAACAGGCUGAAUGAUACACUCUUGUACAGGUUAUGUUUUAGCCAAGUACAAAACUUCCAAUAGUUAUACUGAUAGUAAAUAUGCUUUUGGAGUAGCUCAUGAUUUUGGAAUAUUGUGGAAGCAAUGUGUCUUCCUCACUUCCAGUGGCAAUAAAAUAUAAAAAUGCCCCUAUGCUCAGGAAUUACUUUGUACAAUACUUUUAACCAGUGCCUUAGCUAUCAUUAAGAUGCCUGAGCAUUCUAAACUUGAUCCUAAUAUGUAAGCUAAGGGUAAUCACCUUGCUUAUAUUUUUGUAAGGAAUGCUACCUUAAAAAAAAUUCAACAUCAAUUUUUCCCCAAAUAAUAUUUAGAAAAACUGGCUAGAGAAGCCCAACUAUUGGCCUCAGGAAAGGAAAACCAAGGUUGGGAAUAUAAGAAUUAUUGUUUUGAUAAAAAGAGAAAGCUCUGAUUUGGACCAAAUAACAAUAUAGUCUUACCAGAGACUCUAAAAUUCCCACUCCUCACCAAUGUAUAUGCAUUAAACAAUUAUUCUACCAACAAAAUAAUAGCAUUUAUGAGUCAAUAUUGGUUGGGAAACAUUAACAAGGCUGCAAAAAGUGCCUUGUUCAAAGCACAACCCAGAGGAACUUGUUUUUACUGCUUCUGGAAUUUUAAACUGCUUAAUGGACCACUGGAGGUCUGGCAAAUGUAUUUCAUACAACUUCCUCUGUCUAAUAUAUAUAAAACAUGCUUUAGUCACAGUCUGUAUGUUUUCACACUAGACUGAAGCCUUCCUUGCAGACUGGCUACUAUCUCUUUUAUGGACAGGGAAAGAUUGGAAAAGAUUAUUCCUACUUGAGGAACUCUUCUGAAACUCCAUAGUGAUCCAGGCACCCAUUUUACUGGUCAGGUGCUUCAACAAAUCUGUGCUAAUUGGCCAGUUUUACAACAAUUUCACUGUGCUAAAUAACCACUCUCAAUCCUCUGCUUUAGUCUAAUGCAGUAAUGGCAUCAUUAAGACUCACUUCUCAUAAUUUGUAGAGGCCCUCCAGAUACCUGGGCCAAAAUCAUUGCCUUAAGUCCUUCUAAAUCUCAGAUCUACCCUUUUGCAACUCAUAAACUCUCAUCUUUUGAGACAGUCACAGGAAACCCAAUGUACUUGGCUCCUGCUUCUUUUGAUCCACACUAACGAAAGAAGAGUUAGUUACUCCAAUAUUUCAAAGACCUAGCUGCUUCUACUAAAAAUAAGCAUGUUUUGGUAGACCAAUCUUUUCACAACGUGCCCUAAGUAGGUGAAGACAUCUUGCAAUCUGGAAAUUUUGUCUAUUAGAAACAAACCCUCUAGAAGAAGUACUCCCUUAAACCCUACUGGAAAGGCCCCAGUUGAGAAUUACUAAACAACCCCUGUGCUACCCAACUCCAAGAAAGAUAAUCUUGGAUUCACAGGACACACCUAAAGAAAACACCAAAUCCUGACCAGACUGGCACAUCAUCUUGUAAUCUCAAAUAAAAAUUUACCAAAUGGGGAGUUCCCGUCGUGGCGGAGUGGUUAACGAAUUCGACUAAGAACCAUGAGGUUGCGGGUUUGAUCCCUGCCCUUGCUCAGUGGGUUAACGAUCCGGCGUUGCCAUGAGCUGUGGUGUAGAUCGCAGACGUGGCUCAGAUCCUGCGUUGCUGUGGCUCUGGUGCAGGCCAGCAGCUACAGCUCUGAUUGGACCCCUAGCCUGGGAAGCUCCAUAUGCAGCAGGAGCGGCCCAAGAAAUGGCAAAAG
Molecule: long non-coding RNA, 5763 nt
Filed under: Sus scrofa (pig)
Lineage: Eukaryota; Metazoa; Chordata; Mammalia; Artiodactyla; Suidae
Description: lncRNA (ENSSSCG00000061725.1)
Source: RNAcentral